ACAAGACUGACGCUCAGGUGCGAAAGCGUGGGAGCAACAGGAUAGAUACCCUGGUAGUCCACGCUGUAAACGAUGUCGAUUUGGAGGUGUUCCCUUGAGGAGUGGCUUCCGGAGCUAACGCGUUAAAUCGACCGCUGGGGAGUACGGCCGCAAGGUUAAAACUCAAAUGAAUUGACGGGGGCCCGCACAAGCGGUGGAGCAUGUGGUUUAAUUCGAUGCAACGCGAAGAACCUUACCUACUCUUGACAUCCAGAGAAUUUAGCAGAGAUGCUUUAGUGCCUUCGGGAACUCUGAGACAGGUGCUGCAUGGCUGUCGUCAGCUCGUGUUGUGAAAUGUUGGGUUAAGUCCCGCAACGAGCGCAACCCUUAUCCUUUGUUGCCAGCACAUUAUGGUGGGAACUCAAAGGAGACUGCCGGUGAUAAACCGGAGGAAGGUGGGGAUGACGUCAAGUCAUCAUGGCCCUUACGAGUAGGGCUACACACGUGCUACAAUGGCGUAUACAAAGAGAAGCGACCUCGCGAGAGCAAGCGGAACUCAUAAAGUACGUCGUAGUCCGGAUUGGAGUCUGCAACUCGACUCCAUGAAGUCGGAAUCGCUAGUAAUCGUAGAUCAGAAUGCUACGGUGAAUACGUUCCCGGGCCUUGUACACACCGCCCGUCACACCAUGGGAGUGGGUUGCAAAAGAAGUAGGUAGCUUAACCUUCGGGAGGGCGCUUACCACUUUGUGAUUCAUGACUGGGGUGAAGUCGUAACAAGGUAACCA
This 764-nucleotide ribosomal RNA is filed under the name uncultured Providencia sp. RNAcentral's name for it is "bacterial SSU rRNA". It matches the Rfam family "Bacterial small subunit ribosomal RNA", at positions 734 to 1502 of the family's 1533-position model. The record is from RNAcentral. Lineage: Bacteria; Pseudomonadati; Pseudomonadota; Gammaproteobacteria; Enterobacterales; Morganellaceae.